Molecule: ribosomal RNA, 253 nt
Filed under: uncultured bacterium
Lineage: Bacteria
Description: partial 16S ribosomal RNA
Rfam family: Bacterial small subunit ribosomal RNA
Source: RNAcentral
UACGAAGGGGGCAAGCGUUAAUCGGAAUUACUGGGCGUAAAGCGCACGCAGGCGGUUGGAUAAGUUAGAUGUGAAAGCCCCGGGCUCAACCUGGGAAUUGCAUUUAAAACUGUCCGGCUAGAGUCUUGUAGAGGGGGGUAGAAUUCCAGGUGUAGCGGUGAAAUGCGUAGAGAUCUGGAGGAAUCCCGGUGGCGAAGGCGGCCCCCUGGACAAAUACUGACGCUCAGGUGCGAAAGCGUGGGGAGCAAACAGG